RNAcentral lists this ribosomal RNA (468 nucleotides) under uncultured bacterium. Its description in RNAcentral is "partial 16S ribosomal RNA". It matches the Rfam family "Bacterial small subunit ribosomal RNA", at positions 28 to 507 of the family's 1533-position model. The record is from RNAcentral.
GAUGAACGCUGGCGGCGUGCUUAACACAUGCAAGUCGAACGGAAAGGCCCAAGCUUGCUUGGGUACUCGAGUGGCGAACGGGUGAGUAACACGUGGGUGAUCUGCCCUGCACUUCGGGAUAAGCCUGGGAAACUGGGUCUAAUACCGGAUAGGACGAUGGUUUGGAUGCCAUUGUGGAAAGUUCUUUCGGUGUGGGAUGAGCUCGCGGCCUAUCAGCUUGUUGGUGGGGUAAUGGCCUACCAAGGCGUCGACGGGUAGCCGGCCUGAGAGGGUGUACGGCCACAUUGGGACUGAGAUACGGCCCAGACUCCUACGGGAGGCAGCAGUGGGGAAUAUUGCACAAUGGGCGCAAGCCUGAUGCAGCGACGCCGCGUGGGGGAUGACGGCCUUCGGGUUGUAAACUCCUUUCGCUAGGGACGAAGCGUUUUUGUGACGGUACCUGGAGAAGAAGCACCGGCUAACUACGUG